Equus caballus (horse) is the source of this 5339-nucleotide long non-coding RNA. The record is from Ensembl. NCBI's taxonomy places the organism in Eukaryota, Metazoa, Chordata, Mammalia, Perissodactyla, Equidae.
GAAAAUGUCUGAAAACCACCUAUAUGUUAGGCAUCUGGUAUUCACAACGUAUAAAGAAAUCUAGAAACUCAUCACAAAAUAGCAAAGAACCCAAUUAAAAUAUGGGCAAGGGACUUGAAUAAAUAUUUUUCCAAAAAAAAGAUAUACACAUAGAUAGCAAGUAGAUGAAAGGAUGCUCAACAUUAUUAGUCAUUAGUGAAAUGCAAAUCAAAACUGCAGUGAGAGAACACUUCACAUCCAAAAGGAAGUGUUAGCACUGAUAUGGAGAAAUUGGAACCCUCAUACGUUGCUGGUGGGAAUGUAAAAUGAUUCAGCUGCUGUGGAAAACAGUUUGGCGAUUCUUCAAACAGUGAAACAUAGAAUUAUCCUAUGAUCCAGCAAUUCCAGUCACAGGUAUACACCCAAAAGAAUUGAAACAGGUACUCAAGCAAAUUCUUGAACCUGAAUGUUCACAGCAGCAACAUGACCGCAUAGCCAAAAGGUAGGAACAGCACAAAUGUCCACAAAGAAAGAAUGGAUAAGCAAAUGGUGGGAUAUCCAAACAAUGCAGUAUAAUUCAGCCUUAAAAGGUAAUGAAGCACUGAUACAUGCUACACUGAGGAUGAACUUUCAAAACCUGUGCUACCUGAAAGAAUCCAGAUGUGAAAGUCACAUAUCCUGUAUUCCUUUUGUAUGAAAUGUCCAGAAUAGGUAAAUCCAUAGAGACAGAAUGCAGGUUGGUGUUUGCCAGGUGGAGGUGGGGAGGAAUGGUGAGAAACUGCCUGAUGGGUAGGUUUAUUUUGGAGUGAUUAAAAUGUUUUGGGACUAGAUAGAGAUGGUGGUUGAACGAUGUAUUAAACGCCAUUGAAUUAUUCAGUUUAACAUGGUUAAUUUUAUGUUAUGUGAAUAUCACCUCAAAAAAAAGUGAGCGGUUUUGUAUAAAAUCCUGACUUCUGGGUUUUCUUCAACAGUCAGGACUCUGGUAACCUUGGGCCCCAUUCCCACCUGGGUCUUGCUGAGCAGCGGACACCUCCUCAUGGAGUCAUGGUCUCACCAGCUCACCCAGCCCCACAGGUGACAGUGGGCCCAUUGUAUCCUGUAACCACCUGCUUUAGUGUGUCCUGAGGAUUCCAACUGUGCAUCAGUUCAUAUUCCCUGAGCAAGCAUUUGAAAACUCUAAGACUGUUCUUGACCUUGAGAAGGUUUGACUUUCAUGUCAGAUGAGGUAGACAGACAGGCACAUCAACAAAUCACAGCAUAACAUCAAGUGCAGGGAAAAGGAGUGUGGCAGAUCUUAACUCAAGUCUAUGAGGAUAUUGCAGGCAGAGUAAUGGUCCCCAAAGAGCUCCACACGCUAAUCCCCAGAACCUGUGACUGUUACCCUACAUGGGAAAAGGGGCUUUGCAGAUGUGAUUAAAUUAUGGACCUUGAGAUGGGGAGAGCCUCCUGGAUUACCCAGGUGAGUCAAUCUAAUCACAUGGCUCCUUAAAAUAGGAUAACCCUUCCCAGCUGGGUCAGAGAGAGAAACAGAAGAAGGAAGAGGAGAGAUGUGAAACAUGAGAGGGUCUCAACCACCAUUGCUGGCUCUGAAGAUGGAGCAAGGAGCUGUGAGCCAUGGCAGACACAUGGUCCCUAGAAGGUGGGAAGGCCCUCAGCUCCCAGCCAGAAGGAAGCAGGGAUCUCAGUCCUACAGCCGCCAGGAGCUGAAUUCUGCCCAGAACCCACGUGAUCGAGGAAGCAGACCCUCCACUGGAGCCUCCAGAGAGAGACGCAGCCUGCAGACACCCCGAAUUUAGCCCAAGGAGCCCCAUGUCCAACUUCUGGCCUGCAGAGCUGUGAGAUGAGGAGUCUGUGUUGUCUAAGCCACUGAGUUCGUGGUAAUUUUAGGUCAGCAGUAGGUUUCCAACACAGACGGCUGUGUUUCUGGAAGUAAGAAGCAGCUUGCACAGACUGGAAGGCUGCUCCCCGAGGCCAGGCAUGUGCUUGUGGUGUUGGGCUGGGACUGACUUGGUUGGUGAAUAGAAAUAAGACGUGUGAGAGGGUGAGGGCAGCUGCCCAGUGGAGAGCGUGGGCAGCGCUCACCAGUGUCCUGAGAGGUGGGACGGGGGACUCGGCCCCAGGCCAUCCCCACUGCAAACCAGAAUCUCAAGAAUUAAUCAGCUGCCAUCAGAGCCCAAUGGUGCCCUUUGCUUAGCAAACUUGUAGAAGAAUCAGCAGAUCAACCUCCUCGAAAUGGUGAGGGAAGGAAAUACGUUUGGAAACUGAGUGAUGUGCUGAAGGCCUUUUAUUCCUAAAGGGUUGUCGUGUUUGUGCUUUUCAUGUCCUGCCUGUGAAAAUAAUACCUCUGAAGAUUUGUUUCGUUAAGAAACCUAGCCUUUAUGUUCUGUGCUUUGCUCACACUGUCUAAUGGCUCUCAGAGAGGGGUCAUUUUUUCUUUCGCUGGCAGGUCUGAACCACACACCAUUACUUAUCUUGUAGUCAGGGAAUUUCUCUCAGCUUCCGUGUCAUCACCAGCUGCACCAGCUCUGCCACUGAUCCCAGAACGUCUUCUAUGACUGUGGCAAUGACGGCUUCCUCUAAAGACCCACAGCGAAUUCUCGGGAUGAGGCUGAGCACUCUCCUGUGGGCCGGAGGAGAUGGACCUUCCUGAGAGAGCCGUGGUCUGAGAGUGCAGGGGGGCUGGAUGAUGGGAGGUGAGAGGGUAAGUGUGAGGUGCACCCAGAGACUGCUGAGGGAGACGCCCUGCUGUGAGGUUGCUGGAGGAUUCCUGGAGGGAUGUGCCAUCGCAUUUGGGGGCAGUCAAGUUUGCCUUGUGUGAGAGAGUCUGAGAAAGAGAUGACACUGGCUGACACAGGAGGCCAAGUGAACACUGGGACAGGCUGAGCAAUUUCAAUGCUCCCUCAGGUAUAACUUAAAACUCAUCUCAAGUGUGUUGACUGAAAACUCAGACUCUCUCCUUCUGGAGGAGAAAGAAAGGACAGAUGAAGAAAUGAAAGGGAUGCUCUGACUAAGUGUUAGUAAGCCACAGGCUUGUUUGAAAGGCAAGAUUGUAGGGAAUCAGAACAUCAGUUUUAAUCUGAAAGAAAAAAUAAUACAAGGGUAGUUCAGUUCCUGAUAUCCUCCUGAAGUCGAGGCUGAAGCAGUAGGACCGAGGUGAUAGGAAAUGUGGGUUGAGGCAGCCAGGAGAGGAACAAAACUGCAUUUAACGUGAACAAAUAUUUGAGCCCAGGGUCCUAGUGAUGAGAAAGUAUUUGAUAAAAGCAUUAAAUCUAGUACCUCAUUCACAAAUGUCCUGAAACAGUGGGCAUGACAAAUUUCAAAGUUGUCCCUGCACCCUUUACUGCAAAGUCUGUCUUGUGAACGUGAAGUUAACCACCCCAGCAUUUACUGAGCACCUGCUGAGUGACAGGCCCUGUGCAAGGGCCUUGGGUGGAUGCUCUCAUUCAGUCCUCUCUCAGUGAGAUAGGUCCUGUGACCAUCCACACUAAUCAAUGAAGAAACUGAGGCACAGAGAGGUGAGAGGUGGCAAAAGGCCACUUAUCCGGCAAGGGAUGGAGCCAGGGUUCCCACUCAACUGUGUUCAGCUCUGAGCUGGCACCUUAGCGUCCAGGAUGGUGUGGCGGUGCUACACAAUAUAUAGAGGCUGUGAAAAUAAUGACAAUGUGGUGGAGCCACACAUCACACAGGGCUUAGGUCUAAAUUGAGUUCCUUGAAAAUCACACGUUGCCCAGUGUUGGAACAGAUCACAGUUUUUAGUUUUUUCUGUGUUGAGCGUAAGAUGAAUAAAUGCCUGGAGGGAGCCGGCUCCAUGCCCACUGGCACGUCCUGCCAGAGUCCCAGUGUCCUUCCUGGGGACAAACCAGCUCAGGCAUCCCCAGUGCACCCAGCAGACUCCAGAGGAUGGCUCUCCCGUCCCCGAGAGAGGCCAGGUGCUGGCCUCCACUCUGCCCAGCCCUGAUCCCCUCGGGCUCCUCAUCUGACCAACGGGCUGCAGCUGGGGGACUGCACCGGGCUGGGCUGUGCCUUCCUUCCCUAAGAGCGGGCAGGUCCUGGAACAUGGGGAACUGAGUCGUGGAAAACAGAACAGCCUUUCCCUCACCCUCCUGUGGGCCUCCCCGGGGUUCAUCCAGAAAACGGCCCAUCUUCUCAACCUCUGACCUGAGGCAGACAGAUCCCCAUCCUGGGGCGUCCUCCCCGCUCUCGGCACCUGCCUCGCCUCCAGCGUCCGUGUUGGCCCAGGGUCGGGCCCUUUAAUUUAAAGAUGCCAUUCGUGUGAGAGUUGAGCGUUGUGCCCUCGACAGCGAUGCCUUUUACAAGCUGGGUCACGGAGAACUGUGAGCGGCUACCAGAAAGCACUGGAGCUAGACCUUGUGAGGAACCCGCGCGCACAGGCGCUCACACCACAAACAGCCUCACCAGCCGGAUCAGCUUCAUCCCAGAACGUUCCUUCCGGGGAGCCCUGGGUCUGCUCUGAAGAUGCCCUGGAGCGUCUGGCCGGAUGGGCCGGGUCACGGGGUCUGGGUGAGUGAAGAGUUGUCUGCCAACGCCGAAGACAUUUCAUAACCGUGUGCGGAAAGCGGGAGGCAGUGGACAGAGAGGGGAGUUUGUGUCCUUGGUGAUGGAGAGGCUUGCCCCAUCCUGCUUUAGAGAAGGUCCGUCCUUGUCGCCAGAGCUGGCUGUCCAGGAACAUCCUGUUUGCACACAGAUGGUCACUGUGAAGGACAGAGAGGAGCCUGACUGCAUCCCCUGAGCGCUUGGAUCCAGCCAUGCCUGAAGGGAUUCUGAAGCUGGUUCUCCUAACUGGAGAAGCCCAGAAAGGAGAGCCUGGAGGAGAAGAGACAGAUUCCUUGACCUGAAGCCACAGAUAGGCACCAUGAAGCGGGAUCUCGGAGGGAACCGCACACGAGUAGGGACGGGUCAGAGCAGGACCCUGAAGCCAAACCUCAUGGUCUGAGCCCUGCUCACCACUCAGCUGUGUUACCUGGGACAGGUCGCUUGCCGUCUCCGUAUCCGGGUCUGUCAGCUGAGGACAGUGAUAAGCCCGCCCCGUGGGGUGUGAGCUGAUGAGUCUGUGUGGACGGUGCCCAGGACAAGGCCUGGCCCCCGCGACCCAGGGCUCUGGGCUCUCUCCACAGAACUGCCGGGUCAGGGGACAAUUUCCAUCUCCUGUGGGGACGUGACCUGUGCACCCGCCGGGCAGAGGGUGCGACAGUGUUGGGUGGGGCCUGCUCUCUGCGACCAUCCUGAGAGUGAACGACUUGCAUUCUCACCAUACCCACGUUUAAUUCAUAAGGAUUCAAAUACAUGCAUUUUGCCAGAAAAAAUGAGAAAGCUAAUUCAAAUUAAACUGUAAAAUUAAA